GUUGCGUUGAUUAGAUAGUAGCUGGGAGCUUUUAUUUACAUCAAUUUGCAGUGGAACACGUGAAAAUUGCAUGUACUUUGAUAAUUGUUUGGUGAGCUACUCAUAUGUGGGCCACCUGUUGGGGUCCCCUGGUCUAUGGUCUGCUGGGUAACGUGGGCUGUUACGUAUCUUAGGGUCCCCUGGUCUAUGGUCUGCUGGGUAACGUGGGUCCCCUGGUCUAUGGUCUGCUGGGUAACGUGGGCUGUUACGUAUCUUAGGGUCCCCUGGUCUAUGGUCUGCUGGGUAACGUGGGUCCCCUGGUCUAUGGUCUGCUGGGUAACGUGGGUCCCUGGUCUAUGGUCUGCUGGGUAACGUGGGUCCCCUGGUCUAUGGUCUGCUGGGUAACGUGGGUCCCCUGGUCUAUGGUCUGCUGGGUAACGUGGGCUGUUACGUCUCUUAGGGUCCCCUGGUCUAUGGUCUGCUGGGUAACGUGGGCUGUUACGUAUCUUAGGGUCCCCUGGUCUAUGGUCUGCUGGGUAACGUGGGUCCCCUGGUCUAUGGUCUGCUGGGUAACGUGGGCUGUUACGUCUCUUAGGGUCCCCUGGUCUAUGGUCUGCUGGUUAACGUGGGCUGUUACGUCUCUUAGGGUCCCCUGGUCUAUGGUCUGCUGGGUAACGUGGGCUGUUACAUCUCUUAGGGUCCCCUGGUCUAUGGUCUGCUGGGUAACGUGGGCAGUUAGGUCUCUUAGGGUCCCCUGGUCUAUGGUCUGCUGGGUAACGUGGGCUGUUACGUCUCUUAGGGUCCCCUGGUCUAUGGUCUGCUGGGUAACGUGGGCAGUUAGGUCUCUUAGGGUCCCCUGGUCUAUGGUCUGCUGGGUAACGUGGGCAGUUAGGUCUCUUAGGGUCCCCUGGUCUAUGGUCUGCUGGGUAACGUGGGCUGUUACGUCUCUUAGGGUCCCCUGGUCUAUGGUCUGCUGGGUAACGUGGGCAGUUAGGUCUCUUAGGGUCCCCUGGUCUAUGGUCUGCUGGGUAACGUGGGCAGUUAGGUCUCUUAGGGUCCCCUGGUCUAUGGUCUGCUGGGUAACGUGGGCAGUUAGGUCUCUUAGGGUCCCCUGGUCUAUGGUCUGCUGGGUAACGUGGGCUGUUACGUCUCUUAGGGUCCCCUGGUCUAUGGUCUGCUGGGUAACGUGGGCUGUUACGUCUCUUAGGGUCCCCUGGUCUAUGGUCUGCUGGGUAAC
Oncorhynchus keta (chum salmon) is the source of this 1216-nucleotide long non-coding RNA. RefSeq lists it as uncharacterized. The record is from RefSeq and is a predicted model, not a curated record. NCBI's taxonomy places the organism in Eukaryota, Metazoa, Chordata, Actinopteri, Salmoniformes, Salmonidae. The transcript is spliced from 3 exons.